This 253-nucleotide ribosomal RNA is filed under the name uncultured bacterium. RNAcentral describes it as "partial 16S ribosomal RNA". It matches the Rfam family "Bacterial small subunit ribosomal RNA", at positions 524 to 776 of the family's 1533-position model. The record is from RNAcentral.
UACGGAGGGUGCAAGCGUUGUCCGGAUUUAUUGGGUUUAAAGGGUGCGUAGGUGGCUUGUUAAGUCCGGGGUGAAAGCCCACAGCUCAACUGUGGAACUGCCCUGGAUACUGGCAAGCUUGAGUCCAGACGAGGUUGGCGGAAUGGAAGGUGUAGCGGUGAAAUGCAUAGAUACCGUCCAGAACCCCGAUUGCGUAGGCAGCUGACUAGGCUGGUACUGACACUGAGGCACGAAAGCGUGGGGAGCGAACAGU